AUCUAUGGUCAUAUCACCCUGAAUAAGCCAGAUCUCAUCUGAUCUCAGAAACUAAGCAGGGUUGGGCCUCAUUAGCACUUGAAUGGAAGAAUUAUAUCAUAUGAGUUGGAGUACAAGGGAUCCAUAGACA
This 130-nucleotide ribosomal RNA is filed under the name Peromyscus maniculatus bairdii (prairie deer mouse). The record is from RNAcentral. Lineage: Eukaryota; Metazoa; Chordata; Mammalia; Rodentia; Cricetidae.